This 5162-nucleotide unclassified non-coding RNA is filed under the name Penaeus japonicus. RNAcentral describes it as "carboxypeptidase M-like, transcript variant X6". The record is from RNAcentral. Lineage: Eukaryota; Metazoa; Arthropoda; Malacostraca; Decapoda; Penaeidae.
AGGCGAAGGUGGGAGGACGUCGCUCUCUCUCUCUCCCUCUUCCCUCGGCUUCUCACCAACGGCGCGUUCGCAGUUUCUUUCCCACAAAAAGUGAACGUUCUGAGAGGAAGAAAAGAUAAACCCGAGCACAUACCAACUAAAAGCAAAGAAAAGGAACGGCAAAACACAAAGAACGUAUCUCUUUCUCUCUUUCCGCUUAAUCUCCGACCGACAAAUAGACAGACGCCGUUUGUGAUCGUGACUUCGUCCUGAGAACUACAGAGCCCCUUCGGCAGAGACGCUCCUCCCGCGCGCGUCCCCGCCAGAGGAUGUCCAUCCGUGCGGUCCGCCAGGAGGGAGAGACAUCGCCAUCCUCCUCCGUCUCAGCGAAGGGCGGCCCUCGGCGUUAAAGAGGGCAUGCCGGCAGCGACGCCUCCAGCUGCCCUCGCCUCGCCAGCCCCCGCCCACCGAGCCGCCGCACGCCCACGCUUCAGCCCACGACCAGCACAAGCGGCGCCUCCUGCUGCCGUGACGGCGCUUUCUGCUCCUACUGUCACGGGAUUCUUUGCGGACUCUUCUGCUGUGACUUUCUCCUGUGACCUUAUUGCUGUGACCUCUUCCCUAAGAACGCUCUUGAUGUUGUGAUCUUCUGCUGUGACCCUGCCUCCUGUGACUCCCUGCUGUGGGAAUAUUUCCCCUGCCGGUGUCCUAUGCUGUGACCCUCUUCCUUGCUCCGACCCGUGCCCCCCCCCCCUCUCUCUCUCCCUCUCUCCUCUCUCUCUUUCUCUCUCUCUCUCAAUCUCUCUCUCUCCCUCUCUCCCUCCCUCUCCCUCUCCCUCCUCUCCCUCCCUUGCCAUGACCCCUGCUUCCUUGACCUGGAGAUCCUCAGUGACCUAAGAGCCAAGCCCGACCGAGCCGAGAGCAGAAAGGCUUGAGUGAUUUUUUCAUGACAACAUAUCAAUGGCAUCAGGGAAUUCGCGACUCCAAGCAUAAGCUGCGCGAAGAUUUAUGGCAGAUCCAAGAGCUUAUAUAUGCGUCGAGUCGUUUGCAUAUACUGUUCAUAUAUAUAGAUGCAGAUAUACACGUUUUCGUGACUAUGAAGCAAUACAAUAUAACACAAGGAAGUUGUUAGAAGUUGUUAGACAAACCUAUGAACAAAAAUUAUAACAAACGACUAAGAACAAAAGGAAGCACGAGAACAGAGACCAGAAACGAAAGGAAAAAAGCAAGAGCGUCAAUAGAAGAGAACAAGAACAUAUGUAACUAUUAAAAAAAAGAAAGAAAGAAAAAAAAAGUUUUCGUCAUCCGAAAAUUACCCCUUUCCUCCCCCCCCCCCCAUCCAGCCGCUCUAAAACGGAGAAUAACACAAAAUACAAACACAGGCCCCUUCUUCCCCAUCUAUCCCCACACACUUUCAACCUCCCUCUAUCACCUUCCUACCCCACACUCCCACCCCCGCCUACCCCUUCCCGCUUGCCCCCAUCCUUCUAAUAUCCCCAGUCCUUCUAAUUUCCCCCCUCCCCUCCCUCCCUCCUCCCCCUCCUCCCUGGGAAUUCGCGUGGCGCGUGACAUGCCGCGGGCGCCGUGGUAGGAGCGGCCGCAUCUCAGCCACCAUUCACGGGGAGACACCGGGGGGAAAGCGCCCUGUACUCGUCACCAUGGAUACGAGCGAGGACCCGGACGACGAGAAAAAACGCUGCUGGUGCAGGAUGAAGCCGGCGGUGUGGUACAUGACGAUGAUCAUCGUGGGCUUUUUCUACGUGUACCUGACGGCUAUCCAGUACAUCCGAGGCAGUGAGCUGGACGGCUCGCCCAGCAGCUACCUGCCUCAGUACGACCCGCAGUACUUCGACGAAAGCCUCUUCAGCCCGACGACGAGCCUUGACUUCGAGUACCACGACUACAGCAGCAUGACCUCCUUCCUGCGUGCCAUGAGUGCCACGUACCCCAACCUGACGGCGCUCUACUCCAUCGGCAAGAGUGUGCAAGGGCGCGACCUGUGGGUGCUGGUGGUGUCGGCGUCGCCCUACGAGCACAUCGUGGGGCAGCCCAACGUGAAGUACGUGGCCAACAUGCACGGCAACGAGGCGGUCGGGCGGGAGAUGCUGCUGCACUUGGUGGAGUACCUGGCGAAGAGCUACCAGACGGACGACUACGUGCGCUGGCUGCUGGACAACACCCGCAUCCACAUCUUGCCUUCCAUGAACCCCGACGGCUUCGAGGUGGCGAGGGAGGGCACGUGCCAGGGAGGGCAGGGCAGAUACAACUCCCGGGGAUUCGAUCUGAACCGCAACUUCCCCGACUACUUCAAGCAGAACAACAAGCGAGCUCAGCCUGAAGCCGAGGCCGUGAAACAGUGGGUUUCGAAGAUUCAGUUCGUGCUGUCGGCGAACCUGCACGGAGGGGCGCUGGUGGCCUCGUACCCCUUCGAUAAUUCGCCCAACACAAUCAAGAACUGCGACCUGAAGCCAUUGUGUGCAGUCUUCCAACAGUUCACUUCCACGCCUUCACUCACGCCUGACGAUGACGUUUUCAAGCACAUUGCCAGCCUCUACGCCUUCAACCAUGCAACCAUGCACCUCGGCCUACCAUGCAAACCAGGUGCACCCACGUUCACCAACGGUACCACUAACGGCGCGGCUUGGUACCCACUUACUGGCGGUAUGCAAGACUAUAACUACGUCUGGCACGGGUGCAUGGACAUCACAAUUGAAAUGUCAUGCUGCAAAUACCCCCCAGCUGAUGACUUGCCCAAGUUCUGGGACGACAAUAAGAAGGCCUUAGUGCGCUACCUGGGCGAGGUGCACCGCGGCGUUCGAGGCUUCGUGAAGGACGAGCGGAACGCCCCCGUUGAGGGCGCGUCGCUCAAGAUCAAAGGCCGCGACGUCGGUUUCCAGACCACCAAGUACGGGGAGUACUGGCGCGUGCUGCUGCCCGGCCGCUACGCCAUCGAGGUGUACGCCGAAGGGUUCGAGCCCCGCGAAGAAGAGUUCGAUGUCGUGGAGACGAAUCCAACGCUACUGAACCUCACCUUAUACAAGGCUGUGCCCGGCCCGACCGCCCUGCCCUCGAGGCCCGAUCAGCACUCGCCGGAAACCACAGCCGGGCCGAAGACACUGAGCAAUCCGACCCUGUGGAUCUGGGCCGCCGUUCUCAUGGUCGUGUCGGCAGCCACUCUGUUCGGCGCGAAGGUCGUGCGAGCGAGGUCGAAGAAAAACUAAAUUGCCGAUAAAGACAGGAAGUCGAAGAAAGCGAAAGAAAGAAUAUGAAAGAAAGGGGUAAUGGGGGGAAGGAAAAGGAACGUGGAAAAAAGACAAGAAGAUUAGUGUCGAUAUGAGUAAUUUUGCUUGCGUGAUAUUUCGGUAAAUUAGAUUGCGGUCCGGGGAAAAAAAGGGAACAAGAGAAGAAUAAAUUAUAUUUCGAAAUUAGGGAAAAAUGAAACUAAAAAGCGAUUAAAUUUAUAAUCAAAUAAACUAAGUUUGUCCAUGAUUCUCAGACGAUAAUGGUUUCGAUCGCGAUAAUUUCCAAAGAUGAUUAUAAUAUUCAUUCGCAUUUUGGAAUUCAGGAAUUUUCGGAAUUUCAUUUUUCCCAUUUGCUUUAACUUAAAAGAACGAUAAUACACGGGGGACCCUAGAGCUUCUAGUUAUAAGGUUUUCAUUAUUACUGGAGUUAUGUAUGUCUUGUUGGUAGGUAGAGUAAUGAUGGUAAUAGUCAUGAUAGUAAUGACGAAAAGGAUGAUUUAUGCGUUGUGGAAAAGCUCUUAGUGUUAUGAAAGUAAAGGAUCCGAGAAGACUGAACUCACAUUUGCGAAAGAGAAUAAACGAAAAAAGAAAACUCAAGAAAACCUCGAUUAAUUAAUUGGCGUUUUGUGGUAAUGUUUCCCCUCAGCUGCCAAAUGUCGCCAGAUCUAAGAUGUUAGAUAUCGGGUUCAAAAGCUGUCUGCAAUUGAUGCAAUCGAGAUAGCGUAUUUGCACGACAGCAACCUCUACAUGUCUCAGCAACGGCCGUCGUUUCAGCAAUUUCUUCACUACCGUUUCUGUCGUUGUGGCCGUUAAGCGACAUGGAAGUUUACUGCCGUUAACUUUAAUCUUUAGAGCGACUAGGAGCCGUUCUUUGGUUACAGCCGAAAUAUACCUGUAUGUUCGCCUGUAUUUGAGUGUUUUAGACAUGUAAUUCAUCAUAAGCCGCUACACAAAAACGAUUAAUUAACAUCUAAUUAACCCAUUCACAGUUACUAAACUUCAUCCAUGAUUCAUCGAAGGUCGAGGAAGUUAUUUUAAGCCCGUAAUUCAUCGUAGGUCACAGAAAAUUGACGGAAAUACAGUGUACAUAUGCAGUUCUUUAUCUAACAUCUCGUUGAUUUGAGUCACGGUUUCUUGUAUUCAUGUGUUUUCAAUAACACGAAAUAUGCACUUAGAUGUCUUUUUAGAUCUGACGUUUCUAGAUCUUGUGUUACUGAUUAUGUGAUAAAAAUGAUCCGCCAUUUUUAAUAGUAAUUAUAAUGCAACAUGGUAAUGGUCUUGUCUGUGAUAAUCUAUCGAAAAAAAAUUAAAAUGAAAUGAAACGGUGAUUGAAUUUUUUUCCAAUGCGGUUCUAGAUUUUUUUUAUAUGUUUCGAUUCUUUAAUAGUUAGAUUUAGCAAGAAGUUUAGUGUCGAUGUAUCGUAGUAGCAAAGGAGUUCUAUUUCAUUCGUUUGUGAUAUUCAGUCUUCGAUUCAGACCUUGAAAAUAAGCUUUUUCAUGUUGUCUUUCCACUGAAACGUAGCCUUCAGUGUUUACGCUUCGACGACGCGUGCAUAUCUCAUACGCCUGUCUCAAACGGAUUUGUUUUUCGACUGUUCUUGAAGGAAAGAGCAGAGUGAAGAGAAAACAAAAUAUAAAUGAAAUAAAAACCUGUGAAUAACACAAUAUGAUAAACAUUAUAAAACGACCCGCCUCGCAAAACAAAAGACGAUCGGCCAGAUCCCGGAUUGCUCGGAAGGUCAGCUCAGGUCAGGUCAACGGGCGGGCGUGUGUGACGUCAUGGUGCAUGGACGACACAUAGCGGAUCGAGCACCGCAUCGACCAGCAGCGGCGGCCCGUGUACGUGGGCGGGCCGAGCCAGUCGCAGGGCGCCGCCCCGCAGCCCCAGGGCGGGAUCGGCGGCUUCCUGUCGUCCAUCGGCGACAGCCUAUCCAAUGUGUUC